UGUGAAACGUAUUCCAUUUCCACUGCGCUAUAUAUAAAUCACUAUACACAAACCAAACUCAACCAACCCUGCCUUCCACUUCCAAACUCUCUAUUCUAAUUCUAUUCUGAUCCCCUUCUGCUUCUUAAUUAUUCACUGUUGUGUUUUCAUGGAUACCACUAAAUGGUUCCUUCUACUCGCUUGUUGCUGUGUUUUUGUGAUACAUAACAUCAAUGGAGUCGAAGCUUCACACAAGGUAUACCCAGAGUUUCAAUCUCUUCGUGCUGUGAAGAUCAAGCAAGUCCACAGAACUGGUUUUCACUUUCAACCUCCCAGCCACUGGAUUAAUGGUACUCAAUUCUGUUUGAUUUCGUUACUGUCAUUAAACCAUGAUAUUGAUUUGUUUGCAUAUUUAAAUCAUGAAGUUUUUCUCAAUUCUCAGUUUGGUCCAUGCAUUCCGUUUUUCUUUGUAAUUUUAUUCAUGUUUUGGAUAAGAAAACCUAUUCAAAGUGUUUGAACUCUUUUCAUGUACAUGUUCAGAAUUUUUAAAUAUGAAAAGAAAAACCAUCAGCAUUAUGUCUUCGUCCAAAAACAAAAAAUCAGCAUUAUGUCGUAAACUUUUAAUAUCCAAAAAGUAUUGUGAAAUCAAAGUGAACCUUUCUAUUGUGCAUGUACAAUCAACCGUUCACCGGAAGAACUUUGCUAUAAAAACUCUUUGGUAUUCAAUAUGCAAUACUCCUGGAUUUUCUAUAGUCGGAUCAGGCGAAAAGAGAAUGUUAAAAAUUCCGAAAGUAUGUCAAACUCCAGACUACUGUAGAAACAGUAUAUCUUCAGUGCUGAUGAGUUUUGAAUUGUAUUGUUGUUCCAUAUUUUAAAAUUUUACCUAACUUUGGAGCAUGUAAAUUAAGAGCAUGGUAGAAGAUCUUUACUUACUGCUUUACAAACUUGCAAAUGAAGAACAAUGUGGUUAGGUGGAUGAUGUUGAUGAUAUAUAUAGCACCCCAUGAACCCCUAUUCCAUCAUCGGUGGAGCCGUGGAGACAAUUGGUUGUUCAACAGCAUGGAGUCAUUUAUUUUUACCAAUUUAAUUUCAACUUAGGUAAAUGGAUGCAUGUCGGUCAUUUAAUUAAUACGGUGUCGUGGAAUUCAUAGCUGGAAAAGUGCUGAUAUUGGUCAGUUCAUCAGAGCACAGGCUUAAUGUGGUUUUUUAAAAGUUCUGGUGUGUGUUCGAUCAACAGGUUUCUCCUGAUGAGAUCUGCCUCCUCAUUAUGUUCUGAAAACCAACAGUCAAAUCAUCAUAGCAUCAUAAAUAAAAAUACAGAAAUACAAAACAUUCAUAAACCAUAUAUUUCAUAUAUCUUAAUGUGAAAUAGAUGCAUGCUUUUACUUUUUAACAAUUACUGACUUCUUAUUGUUUUACUUUGUCCCUUCCAUGGCUGUUCAUAAACAAAUGAACCACAGACCCAAAUGGACCUAUGUAUUUUGGGGGUCUCUACCACUUUUUCUAUCAGUACAAUCCCAAAGGAGCUGUUUGGGGCAACAUUGUAUGGGCCCAUUCAGUCUCUAAGGAUCUGAUCAAUUGGCAAGCCCUUGAACCCGCCAUAUACCCAUCCAAGCCCUUUGACAUAAACGGGUGCUGGUCCGGAUCCGCCACCCUUCUCCCGGGCAACAAGCCUAUCAUCCUCUACACCGGACUUGACCCGGAAAAGCGCCAGGUCCAAAACUACGCCGUGCCCGCAAAUGUGUCCGACCCAUAUCUACGCAAAUGGGUUAAGCCCGACAACAACCCGCUAGUGGUUCCGGAUGCAAGUAUGAAUGCAUCCCAGUUCCGUGACCCGACAACCGCUUGGUGGAGCAAUGGGCACUGGAAGAUGUUGGUGGGUGGCAAGAGAAAGCAUAGAGGGAUGGCUCAUUUGUAUAGGAGCAAGGAUUUUGUUUAUUGGGUCAAGGCCCAGCACCCGCUUCACUCUGCCCCGAAAACCGGUAUGUGGGAAUGCCCGGAUUUUUACCCGGUUUCAUUGAAAGGCAAGGUAGGGUUGGACACGUCAAACAAUGGGGAUGUGAAGCAUGUUUUGAAAGUGAGCCUUGAUGAGACUAGGUAUGACUACUACACUGUUGGAAAAUACUUUCCUAAACAAGAUAGGUAUGUUCCUGAUAAGGAAUUGGUGGAUGGUUGGGCUGGAUUGAGAUAUGAUUAUGGGAACUUCUAUGCUUCCAAAACUUUCUUUGAUCCUGCUAAGAAUAGAAGAAUUUUGUGGGGCUGGGCUAAUGAGUCUGAUACUCCUAACAAUGAUGUUGAAAAGGGAUGGGCUGGAGUUCAGGCAAUCCCAAGGACUGUGUGGCUGAGUACUGAUGGGAAACAAUUGUUACAAUGGCCUGUUGAAGAAUUGGAAACUUUAAGGGGACAAAAGGUCCAGAUGAAGAAUCAAAAUCUCAAAGUGGGAGAUCAUGUUGAAGUUAAAGGAAUACAUGCUGCUCAGGCCGAUGUUGAAGUUAUAUUCUCUUUCAAGAGCUUGGACAAAGCAGAGAAGUUUGACCCUAUAUGGUCAAACCUUGAUGCCCAAGCAAUAUGUGGGCUAACGGGUUCAAAAAUUGGAGGUGGCAUUGGCCCAUUUGGGCUAUUGACUUUAGCUUCACAAAACCUAGAGGAAUUCACUCCUGUCUUCUUUAGGGUGUUCAAAACUCAAGGCAAUAAGCAUAAGGUUCUCCUGUGCUCUGAUGCAAGAAGUUCCUCUUUGCAGGAUAAUCUGUACAAACCAUCAUUUGCUGGUUUUGUAGAUGUAGAUUUAUCUGAUAAGAAGCUCUCCCUCAGGAGUUUGAUUGAUCAUUCUGUUGUUGAGAGUUUUGGAGCUGGAGGAAAAACAUGCAUAACUUCUAGGGUUUACCCCUCUCUAGCUGUUGACAAUAAAGCUCACUUGUAUGUGUUCAACAAUGGGACUGAGGCUGUCACUAUUGAGAGUCUCGAUGCGUGGACUAUGAAUGCUCCUAAGUUGAUGAACCAAUAGUCCCAGGUCUAGCUACUUAGAGCUAUCAGAAAAAACGGUUCAGAUUUCAGAAUGUAAAUGCUAAUUUCUAAGUAAUUAGCUAGCCUGAGCUAAAUGUCUAAGUAUGUAAUAAGGAUCUAUGAUUCAUAUGACCCUGAUCUUAGGUUGCAGUUUUAAUUCGUUGUUGUGCCCAUCAGUUCUUCGACGAAAUUCUGUUUUUUUUUGGUUGAGAAGUUGACGAAACCCUGUUUAAUUUAGUAGUAAA
RNA transcript from Rosa rugosa (rugosa rose), 3227 nucleotides. It is a transcript of the gene named beta-fructofuranosidase, insoluble isoenzyme 1-like, with no coding region annotated. The record is from RefSeq and is a predicted model, not a curated record. The transcript has 7 exons. Lineage: Eukaryota; Viridiplantae; Streptophyta; Magnoliopsida; Rosales; Rosaceae.